Molecule: ribosomal RNA, 301 nt
Filed under: uncultured bacterium
Lineage: Bacteria
Description: partial 16S ribosomal RNA
Rfam family: Bacterial small subunit ribosomal RNA
Source: RNAcentral
CAGUCGCCGCGGUAAUACAGAGGGUGCGAGCGUUAAUCGGAUUUACUGGGCGUAAAGCGUGCGUAGGCGGCUUUUUAAGUCGGAUGUGAAAUCCCUGAGCUUAACUUAGGAAUUGCAUUCGAUACUGGGAAGCUAGAGUAUGGGAGAGGAUGGUAGAAUUCCAGGUGUAGCGGUGAAAUGCGUAGAGAUGUGGAGGAAUACCGAUGGCGAAGGCAGCCCCCUGGGCCAAUACUGACGCUCAUGCACGAAAGCGUGGGGAGCAAACAGGAUUAGAUACCCCAGUAGUCCCUGUCUCUUAUAA